UUAAUUCAUAUUUGUAUGGAAUGGGAUCGUUUGCGUACGUUUGCCGCUAGGGGCGCUGUUCCGAUUGCAUAAAAAACUGGCUUA
This 84-nucleotide microRNA precursor is filed under the name Bombyx mori (domestic silkworm). Its description in RNAcentral is "mir-2807 microRNA precursor family". It matches the Rfam family "mir-2807 microRNA precursor family". The record is from Rfam by way of RNAcentral. Lineage: Eukaryota; Metazoa; Arthropoda; Insecta; Lepidoptera; Bombycidae.